GCUUUCGUGGUGUAAUGGUUAGCACACUCGGCGCGCAUUCGAGAGAUCCAGGUUCGAGUCUCGGUGAGGGCA
RNAcentral lists this transfer RNA (72 nucleotides) under Stegodyphus mimosarum. It matches the Rfam family "tRNA". From Rfam's summary of the family: Transfer RNA (tRNA) molecules are approximately 80 nucleotides in length. Their secondary structure includes four short double-helical elements and three loops (D, anti-codon, and T loops). Further hydrogen bonds mediate the characteristic L-shaped molecular structure. tRNAs have two regions of fundamental functional importance: the anti-codon, which is responsible for specific mRNA codon recognition, and the 3' end, to which the tRNAs corresponding amino acid is attached (by aminoacyl-tRNA synthetases). tRNAs cope with the degeneracy of the genetic code in two manners: having more than one tRNA (with a specific anti-codon) for a particular amino acid; and 'wobble' base-pairing, i.e. permitting non-standard base-pairing at the 3rd anti-codon position. Lineage: Eukaryota; Metazoa; Arthropoda; Arachnida; Araneae; Eresidae. The record is from Rfam by way of RNAcentral.